Molecule: ribosomal RNA, 422 nt
Filed under: uncultured bacterium
Lineage: Bacteria
Description: bacterial SSU rRNA
Rfam family: Bacterial small subunit ribosomal RNA
Source: RNAcentral
UAAGGAAUAUUGGUCAAUGGACGCAAGUCUGAACCAGCCAUGCCGCGUGGAGGAUGAAGGUCCUCUGGAUUGUAAACUUCUUUUAUCUGGGAUGAAACACUUCUUUUCUAAGAGGUCUGACGGUACCCUAGGAAUAAGCACCGGCUAACUCCGUGCCAGCAGCCGCGGUAAUACGGAGGGUGCAAGCGUUAUCCGGAUUUACUGGGUUUAAAGGGAGCGUAGGUGGGUCUGUAAGUCAGUGGUGAAAUCUCCGAGCUUAACUCGGAAACUGCCAUUGAUACUAUAGGUCUUGAAUAUUCUGGAGGUAAGCGGAAUAUGUCAUGUAGCGGUGAAAUGCUUAGAUAUGACAUAGAACACCGAUUGCGAAGGCAGCUUGCUACAGGAUUAUUGACACUGAGGCUCGAAAGCGGGGGGAUCAAACA